GAUGAACGCUGGCGGCGUGCCUAAUACGUGCAAGUCGAGCGAACGGACGAGAAGCUUGCUUCUCUGAUGUUAGCGGCGGACGGGUGAGUAACACGUGGAUAACCUACCUAUAAGACUGGGAUAACUUCGGGAAACCGGAGCUAAUACCGGAUAAUAUUUUGAACCGCAUGGUUCAAAAGUGAAAGACGGUCUUGCUGUCACUUAUAGAUGGAUCCGCGCUGCAUUAGCUAGUUGGUAAGGUAACGGCUUACCAAGGCAACGAUGCAUAGCCGACCUGAGAGGGUGAUCGGCCACACUGGAACUGAGACACGGUCCAGACUCCUACGGGAGGCAGCAGUAGGGAAUCUUCCGCAAUGGGCGAAAGCCUGACGGAGCAACGCCGCGUGAGUGAUGAAGGUCUUCGGAUCGUAAAACUCUGUUAUUAGGGAAGAACAUAUGUGUAAGUAACUGUGCACAUCUUGACGGGACCUAAUCAGAAAGCCACGGCUAACUACGU
This 496-nucleotide ribosomal RNA is filed under the name uncultured bacterium. Its description in RNAcentral is "partial 16S ribosomal RNA". It matches the Rfam family "Bacterial small subunit ribosomal RNA", at positions 28 to 506 of the family's 1533-position model. The record is from RNAcentral.